RNAcentral lists this ribosomal RNA (253 nucleotides) under uncultured bacterium. RNAcentral describes it as "partial 16S ribosomal RNA". It matches the Rfam family "Bacterial small subunit ribosomal RNA", at positions 524 to 776 of the family's 1533-position model. The record is from RNAcentral.
UACGGAGGGUGCGAGCGUUGUUCGGAAUCACUGGGCGUAAAGGGCGUGUAGGCGGGCCGCUAAGUCUGAUGUGAAAGCCCGGGGCUCACCCCCGGAAGGGCAUUGGAAACUGGCGGACUCGAGUCCCGGAGAGGAAGGUGGAAUUCCUGGUGUAGCGGUGAAAUUCGUAGAUAUUGGGAAGAACACCGGUGGCGAAGGCGGCUCACUGGCUCAUAUCUGACGCUCAGGCGCGACAGCGUGGGGAUCAAACAGG